This 581-nucleotide ribosomal RNA is filed under the name uncultured bacterium. RNAcentral's name for it is "partial 16S ribosomal RNA". It matches the Rfam family "Bacterial small subunit ribosomal RNA", at positions 355 to 1375 of the family's 1533-position model. The record is from RNAcentral.
UGGGGAAUUUUGGACAAUGGGCGAAAGCCUGAUCCAGCAAUGCCGCGUGUGUGAAGAAGGCCUUCGGGUUGUAAAGCACUUUUGUCCGGAAAGAAAUCCUUGGCUCUAAUACAGUCGGGGGAUGACGGUACCGGAAGAAUAAGCACCGGCUAACUACGUGCCAGCAGCCGCGGUAAUACGUAGGGUGCAAGCGUUAAUCGGAAUUACUGGGCGUAAAGCGUGCGCAGGCGGUUUGCUAAGACCGAUGUGAAAUCCCCGGGCUCAACCUGGGAACUGCAUUGGUGACUGGCAGGCUAGAGUAUGGCAGAGGGGGGUAGAAUUCCACGUGUAGCAGUGAAAUGCGUAGAGAUGUGGAGGAAUACCGAUGGCGAAGGCAGCCCCCUGGGCCAAUACUGACGCUCAUGCACGAAAGCGUGGGGAGCAAACAGGAUUAGAUACCCUGGUAGUCCACGCCCUAAACGAUGUCAACUAGUUGUGGGGAUUCAUUCUAGUAACGUAGCUAACGCGUGAAGUUGACCGCCUGGGGAGUACGGUCGCAAGAUUAAAACUCAAAUGAAUUGACGGGGUCAUAGCUGUUUCCU